GUGUCAGUGGUUUAGUGGUAAAAUCCAUCGUUGCCAUCGAUGGGCCCCGCGUUCUAUUCGCGGCUGAUGCA
RNAcentral lists this transfer RNA (71 nucleotides) under Rostrohypoxylon terebratum. RNAcentral describes it as "tRNA-Gly". It matches the Rfam family "tRNA". From Rfam's summary of the family: Transfer RNA (tRNA) molecules are approximately 80 nucleotides in length. Their secondary structure includes four short double-helical elements and three loops (D, anti-codon, and T loops). Lineage: Eukaryota; Fungi; Ascomycota; Sordariomycetes; Xylariales; Hypoxylaceae. The record is from RNAcentral.